Long non-coding RNA from Sapajus apella (tufted capuchin), 293 nucleotides. RefSeq lists it as uncharacterized. Lineage: Eukaryota; Metazoa; Chordata; Mammalia; Primates; Cebidae. The record is from RefSeq and is a predicted model, not a curated record. The transcript is spliced from 2 exons.
AGCAAUACCAGGCAUCCCCCAGCAUCGCUGUGGAGCUCCGGACACAAUGGACUUUUAUUGACAGUUACCUAUGGUGGUGUUGUGAUAAAUCACUGGUCAAUUGCUUUGCACAUCUAAUGUGCAUGUGUCUAUGAUUUCAAACUCCUGGAGGUGAAGACUAGUGUCCCAUAGCACACGUGUCUUCUGCACAGGAAGGAAACAGUUGCCAUUGGACUGUAGCUUUUCUUACAUCUUGGCCAUUGCCUAUUGAUAAGGUCAGCCAAGACUACAACAAAAUGAUUAAGAGGAUGGAA